UAAGGGCGCACGGUGGAUGCCUUGGCACUAGAAGCCGAUGAAGGACGUUACUAACGACGAUAUGCUUUGGGGAGCUGUAAGUAAGCUUUGAUCCAGAGAUUUCCGAAUGGGGAAACCCAGCAUGAGUUAUGUCAUGUUAUCGAUAUGUGAAUACAUAGCAUAUCAGAAGGCACACCCGGAGAACUGAAACAUCUUAGUACCCGGAGGAAGAGAAAGAAAAUUCGAUUCCCUUAGUAGCGGCGAGCGAAACGGGAAGAGCCCAAACCAACAAGCUUGCUUGUUGGGGUUGUAGGACACUCUAUACGGAGUUACAAAGGACGACAUUAGACGAAUCAUCUGGAAAGAUGAAUCAAAGAAGGUAAUAAUCCUGUAGUCGAAAAUGUUGUCUCUCUUGAGUGGAUCCUGAGUACGACGGAGCACGUGAAAUUCCGUCGGAAUCUGGGAGGACCAUCUCCUAAGGCUAAAUACUCUCUAGUGACCGAUAGUGAACCAGUACCGUGAGGGAAAGGUGAAAAGCACCCCGGAAGGGGAGUGAAAUAGAACCUGAAACCGUGUGCUUACAAGUAGUCAGAGCCCGUUAAUGGGUGAUGGCGUGCCUUUUGUAGAAUGAACCGGCGAGUUACGAUUUGAUGCAAGGUUAAGCAGUAAAUGUGGAGCCGUAGCGAAAGCGAGUCUGAAUAGGGCGUUUAGUAUUUGGUCGUAGACCCGAAACCAGGUGAUCUACCCUUGGUCAGGUUGAAGUUCAGGUAACACUGAAUGGAGGACCGAACCGACUUACGUUGAAAAGUGAGCGGAUGAACUGAGGGUAGCGGAGAAAUUCCAAUCGAACCUGGAGAUAGCUGGUUCUCUCCGAAAUAGCUUUAGGGCUAGCCUCAAGUGAUGAUUAUUGGAGGUAGAGCACUGUUUGGACGAGGGGCCCCUCUCGGGUUACCGAAUUCAGACAAACUCCGAAUGCCAAUUAAUUUAACUUGGGAGUCAGAACAUGGGUGAUAAGGUCCGUGUUCGAAAGGGAAACAGCCCAGACCACCAGCUAAGGUCCCAAAAUAUAUGUUAAGUGGAAAAGGAUGUGGCGUUGCCCAGACAACUAGGAUGUUGGCUUAGAAGCAGCCAUCAUUUAAAGAGUGCGUAAUAGCUCACUAGUCGAGUGACACUGCGCCGAAAAUGUACCGGGGCUAAACAUAUUACCGAAGCUGUGGAUUGUCCUUUGGACAAUGGUAGGAGAGCGUUCUAAGGGCGUUGAAGCAUGAUCGUAAGGACAUGUGGAGCGCUUAGAAGUGAGAAUGCCGGUGUGAGUAGCGAAAGACGGGUGAGAAUCCCGUCCACCGAUUGACUAAGGUUUCCAGAGGAAGGCUCGUCCGCUCUGGGUUAGUCGGGUCCUAAGCUGAGGCCGACAGGCGUAGGCGAUGGAUAACAGGUUGAUAUUCCUGUACCACCUAUAAUCGUUUUAAUCGAUGGGGGGACGCAGUAGGAUAGGCGAAGCGUGCGAUUGGAUUGCACGUCUAAGCAGUAAGGCUGAGUAUUAGGCAAAUCCGGUACUCAUUAAGGCUGAGCUGUGAUGGGGAGAAGACAUUGUGUCUUCGAGUCGUUGAUUUCACACUGCCGAGAAAAGCCUCUAGAUAGAAAAUAGGUGCCCGUACCGCAAACCGACACAGGUAGUCAAGAUGAGAAUUCUAAGGUGAGCGAGCGAACUCUCGUUAAGGAACUCGGCAAAAUGACCCCGUAACUUCGGGAGAAGGGGUGCUCUUUAGGGUUAACGCCCAGAAGAGCCGCAGUGAAUAGGCCCAAGCGACUGUUUAUCAAAAACACAGGUCUCUGCUAAACCGUAAGGUGAUGUAUAGGGGCUGACGCCUGCCCGGUGCUGGAAGGUUAAGAGGAGUGGUUAGCUUCUGCGAAGCUACGAAUCGAAGCCCCAGUAAACGGCGGCCGUAACUAUAACGGUCCUAAGGUAGCGAAAUUCCUUGUCGGGUAAGUUCCGACCCGCACGAAAGGCGUAACGAUUUGGGCACUGUCUCAACGAGAGACUCGGUGAAAUCAUAGUACCUGUGAAGAUGCAGGUUACCCGCGACAGGACGGAAAGACCCCGUGGAGCUUUACUGUAGCCUGAUAUUGAAAUUCGGCACAGCUUGUACAGGAUAGGUAGGAGCCUUUGAAACGUGAGCGCUAGCUUACGUGGAGGCGCUGGUGGGAUACUACCCUAGCUGUGUUGGCUUUCUAACCCGCACCACUUAUCGUGGUGGGAGACAGUGUCAGGCGGGCAGUUUGACUGGGGCGGUCGCCUCCUAAAAGGUAACGGAGGCGCUCAAAGGUUCCCUCAGAAUGGUUGGAAAUCAUUCAUAGAGUGUAAAGGCAUAAGGGAGCUUGACUGCGAGACCUACAAGUCGAGCAGGGUCGAAAGACGGACUUAGUGAUCCGGUGGUUCCGCAUGGAAGGGCCAUCGCUCAACGGAUAAAAGCUACCCCGGGGAUAACAGGCUUAUCUCCCCCAAGAGUUCACAUCGACGGGGAGGUUUGGCACCUCGAUGUCGGCUCAUCGCAUCCUGGGGCUGUAGUCGGUCCCAAGGGUUGGGCUGUUCGCCCAUUAAAGCGGUACGCGAGCUGGGUUCAGAACGUCGUGAGACAGUUCGGUCCCUAUCCGUCGUGGGCGUAGGAAAUUUGAGAGGAGCUGUCCUUAGUACGAGAGGACCGGGAUGGACAUACCUCUGGUGUACCAGUUGUCGUGCCAACGGCAUAGCUGGGUAGCUAUGUGUGGACGGGAUAAGUGCUGAAA
This 2766-nucleotide ribosomal RNA is filed under the name Staphylococcus aureus. Its description in RNAcentral is "partial 23S ribosomal RNA". It matches the Rfam family "Bacterial large subunit ribosomal RNA". The record is from RNAcentral. Lineage: Bacteria; Bacillati; Bacillota; Bacilli; Caryophanales; Staphylococcaceae.